AUUGAACGCUGGCGGCAGGCCUAACACAUGCAAGUCGAGCGGUAGCACAGAGAGCUUGCUCUCGGGUGACGAGCGGCGGACGGGUGAGUAAUGUCUGGGAAACUGCCUGAUGGGAGGGGGAUAACUACUGGAAACGGUAGCUAAUACCGCAUAACGUCGCAAGACCAAAGAGGGGGGACCUUCGGGCCUCUUGCCAUCAG
RNAcentral lists this ribosomal RNA (200 nucleotides) under uncultured bacterium. Its description in RNAcentral is "partial 16S ribosomal RNA". It matches the Rfam family "Bacterial small subunit ribosomal RNA", at positions 30 to 224 of the family's 1533-position model. The record is from RNAcentral.